UGGGGAAUAUUGCACAAUGGGCGAAAGCCUGAUGCAGCGACGCCGCGUGAGGGAUGACGGCCUUCGGGUUGUAAACCUCUUUCAGCAGGGAAGAAGCGAAAGUGACGGUACCUGCAGAAGAAGCGCCGGCUAACUACGUGCCAGCAGCCGCGGUAAUACGUAGGGCGCAAGCGUUGUCCGGAAUUAUUGGGCGUAAAGAGCUCGUAGGCGGUUAGUCGCGUCUGCUGUGAAAACUCGAGGCUCAACCUCGGGCUUGCAGUGGGUACGGGCUGACUAGAGUGCGGUAGGGGUGACUGGAAUUCCUGGUGUAGCGGUGGAAUGCGCAGAUAUCAGGAGGAACACCGAUGGCGAAGGCAGGUCACUGGGCCGCAACUGACGCUGAGGAGCGAAAGCAUGGGGAGCGAACAGGAUUAGAUACCCUGGUAGUCCAUGCCGUAAACGUUGGGCACUAGGUGCGGGGUCCAUUCCACGGAUUCCGUGCCGCAGCAAACGCAUUAAGUGCCCCGCCUGGGGAGUACGGCCGCAAGGCUAAAACUCAAA
This 540-nucleotide ribosomal RNA is filed under the name uncultured bacterium. RNAcentral's name for it is "partial 16S ribosomal RNA". It matches the Rfam family "Bacterial small subunit ribosomal RNA", at positions 355 to 905 of the family's 1533-position model. The record is from RNAcentral.